This 196-nucleotide ribosomal RNA is filed under the name Polaromonas sp. 35-63-240. RNAcentral describes it as "partial 16S ribosomal RNA". It matches the Rfam family "Bacterial small subunit ribosomal RNA", at positions 1 to 206 of the family's 1533-position model. The record is from RNAcentral. Lineage: Bacteria; Pseudomonadati; Pseudomonadota; Betaproteobacteria; Burkholderiales; Comamonadaceae.
GAUUAAACUAUAGAGUUUGAUCCUGGCUCAGAUUGAACGCUGGCGGCAUGCCUUACACAUGCAAGUCGAACGGCAGCACGGGAGCAAUCCUGGUGGCGAGUGGCGAACGGGUGAGUAAUAUAUCGGAACGUGCCCAGUCGUGGGGGAUAACGUAGAGAAAUUUACGCUAAUACCGCAUACGAUCUAAGGAUGAAAG